GAUGAACGCUGGCGGCGUGCCUAAUACAUGCAAGUCGAGCGAACGGACGAGAAGCUUGCUUCUCUGAUGUUAGCGGCGGACGGGUGAGUAACACGUGGAUAACCUACCUAUAAGACUGGGAUAACUUCGGGAAACCGGAGCUAAUCCCGGAUAAUAUUUUGAACCGCAUGGUUCAAAAGUGAAAGACGGUCUUGCUGUCACUUAUAGCUGGAUCCGCGCUGCAUUAGCUAGUUGGUAAGGUAACGGCUUACCAAGGCAACGAUGCAUAGCCGACCUGAGAGGGUGAUCGGCCACACUGGAGCUGAGACACGGUCCAGACUCCUACGGGAGGCAGCAGUAGGGAAUCUUCCGCAAUGGGCGAAAGCCUGACGGAGCAACGCCGCGUGAGUGAUGAAGGUCUUCGGAUCGUAAAACUCUGUUAUUAGGGAAGAACAUAUGUGUAAGUAACUGUGCACAUCUUGACGGUACCUAAUCAGAAAGCCACGGCUAACUACGUG
This 497-nucleotide ribosomal RNA is filed under the name uncultured bacterium. RNAcentral's name for it is "partial 16S ribosomal RNA". It matches the Rfam family "Bacterial small subunit ribosomal RNA", at positions 28 to 507 of the family's 1533-position model. The record is from RNAcentral.